Molecule: long non-coding RNA, 12940 nt
Filed under: Gossypium barbadense (sea-island cotton)
Lineage: Eukaryota; Viridiplantae; Streptophyta; Magnoliopsida; Malvales; Malvaceae
Description: long non-coding RNA (GBAR_LNC019624)
Source: RNAcentral
GGGCUAUUAUGUGUGCAAGAAGACCCGGCAGACAGACCAACCAUGUCAUCUGUGAUUUUCAUGUUGGCAAGUGAUAGUACCAUAACACUUCUUUGUCCAUCUGAACCAGCAUUUUUCGUUGGGCGUGCAAUUGCAAAGCCAACUGAACCUAUUUCAGAUGAUGGAGUCUUUUCGGUUAAUGAGGUCACAAUUUCAAAUUUCUCACCUCGCUAAUUUGAUUGUUGUACUAACAAUACUAGUUUAUCAAAAACCUUUCAUUUUUAUUUUCCAGUCUGAAUUAACAACUAUGAAUACUAAAGCCAUGAUUUUUAAGAACUUGAAGAUGAAACUAGAUAUACAUAUAUAUGAAUUUCAAAUUGAAUAUGAAGUUGGUGAUAAAUCAAUUUAAGAAAAUUAAUUUUUUACUCAAAUUUUUUAAUGUAUCGAAGCACCUAAGAAAGUUGAAAAUUAUAUGGAUUUAUACUUUCUAAAGCAUAUAUAAUUUAGCUACUCUUUGCGAUUUGCACAAGGAAACAAACAUAUAGCAGGGAAGAGUGUAAUUUUUAUACUCUUGUAAUGAUGAAGGAGUUGCAAUAAUUUAUUUCAUUAGUUUACACUUAAUCUGGAAUUCAACUCCAAUAAAAGGAUCCAAUUAACUUCCAAAGACUAGUCUUGCAUCUAGAAAUUAAGAGUUUGGAUACGUGUUACCUUGUGCAAAGUGUCGCUACUUUGUGCAAGUUUCUCAUAUGCUCAGUUUAGAUUAAUUUAAAUUAUAUGAAAAAUUAUAACUGUGUUUGACAAAAGUACAAAUUUAUAUGACUUAUGUUACCCCGACAACAAUAUAAUAUUUCAUUACUCGAACCUGACAUUGAAUCAAGAAAUAAAGGGUUACAUUUAGUAAUAUCAGUAACCAAGUCAAUGGAAUGCUUUCACUGUCCCUAACAUGGUCAUGUAGCCAACUGCCACAUUGAAUAUUAUUUUUUGUUCACUUCUGCCCCAUCCAUUCAUUGGGAGGCCCUAAACAAAAUACAGCAAGAAUAGUUCAACAUGCGUAAUUUAAUGUUUUUAGUCAUAUUGACAAAGAAUUGACUGACUUGUGUAGCUUCCUCGAACAUAAGCUGCUUUAUCAUCUUCAUCUUGGGAGAACGGGUCAACAAAAUACAGCCACCUUCGACAAUUGAACUUUUAAUUUGUAAGUGAAUUCCUUAAAGAAACAGGCAACGGAAAUUUCAAGAACAAUAUUGUUUCACUUCUUUUUUUCAGGUUUAACAUUUACAUACCUCGUUAUUCUCACCAUUUCCUUCGACCCUUAUUUCCAGCGUUAUUGGGCGAACAUCAUCGGCAACUACACCGCCAAUAGUGCCUACGAGCUUGACCUGGAUAGCAUCUUCAAGGAGAUCACCUCUAUAACAAAAUCCAAUUAUGGGUUUUACAGCAACAAGGUCGGCGAAGUCAACGCCAUGGCACUUUGCAGAGCAGAUGUUAAGCUAGAUGUUUGCUCUAGUUGUUUAUACGAAAAUAUCUAAUUAUUAUUAAAAAAAAAAGUUAACAAUUCAAGUCUAAUUAUUUUGAACUUGAAUUGACACAUGGAAUAGAUUUAAACUUAAAAUGACUCAAACAAAUCAUUUAAAAUUACUAAAGUCUAAAAAGAUCAAAACUCGAUCCAAAUUUAUAAUGACAAAUUUAGAAGGCUAAUACCUCAACCCUAAAUAAUUCAAAAUCCUAAUUAAUUCUAAUUGAAAUAAUCUAAAAUUUUUAAAAUUAGACUACGUGCAGGCUUGCUUAUUACAGUCAUUGAAUACAUGUCAUUUAUUGGUAACCAAGUCAAUGGAGUGCUUUCAUUGACCCGAACAUGGUCAUGUAACUAACUGCCACAUUGAAUAAUUAUUUAUCAUUUACUUCCGUUCCAUCGAUUCAUUGCGGACCCAGCUCUCCUUGUAGACCAAUUUACACAACAAAACUGCUUUAUCAUCUUCGUAUUGUUAGAACCAGUCAACAAAAUACAGCCACCUUCAACAAUUAAACGUUUAAUUUGUAAGUGAAUUCCCUAGAGAAAAUGGCAACGGAAAUUUCAAGAACAGUACUGUUUCACUUCUUGUUUUCAGGUUUAACAUUUACAUUCCUCGCUACUUUUGCCAUUUCCUUUGACCCUUAUUUCCUGCAUUCUUGUGCAAACAACAUCGGAAACUACACCGCCAAUAGUGCUUACGAGCGUGACCUCAAUACCAUCUUCAAACAGAUCACCUCUAUUACAAAAUCGAAUUAUGGAUUUUACAGCAAGAAAGUCGGCGAAGUCAGCGCCAUGGCACUUUGCAGAGCAGAUGUUAAGCUAGAUGUUUGCACUGGUUGUUUAAGUGAAACUAUAUCAAGGGUCAAGCUGGAUUGUCCUAACAACAAAGAAGCCAUCGGAUGGUCUGCGGAUUGCACGUUACGGUACUCGAACACAAACCUCUCCGAGAAGUUGGAAAUUAAUCCUCAAACCUGUCUAUAUAAUACAGGAUCUACGGUUGAUGAGUACUUCCAGCUCAGACUCGGAGAAUUGUUGAGUGACCUGCGUAAUAAAGCAGCAUCAGGGGGUGCUCUUCUUAAAUAUGCAGCAGGUAACUCGUCGCUCAGGGCUUCGGAAAGGUUAUACGCUCUAGUGCAGUGCACUCCUGAUUUGUCUGAGGGAGACUGCAAUCAUUGUCUUGAUAAGGCGGCAACCAACGGGAUUCUGCGGUGUUGCCUUAAGCAGAGGGGAUGCCGGGUUCUUAGUCCUAGCUGUAACUUGAGGUUCGAAACAUAUCCCUUUGUUGAAGCCGGAGUGGAGUUUCCACCACCCCCGUCACCCUCGGGCGAUCGGCAAAAAGAAGGUACGACAAUUUUCCUUCCACUGUCACUUCUUCCAACCACCUGUUAGCACAGCUUCACUUUGGAGGCACUAUAUUAGCCUAUCACUCUUGUUGAAUCGAGAAAAUCUGAUUCUGCCCUUAUAUAAUUAGAAGAGGAACCAAACAAAUCAAAAAGGACGCCAGUACUUGUUGCAAGUUUAUCAGUGAUAUUUGGGGUAGCUGUGGUUUCUAUCUCAGGUUUCUUAAUCUGGAAGAGGAGAAACAAUCAAGGUAUGCAGUGGCAAACAUUACAAAUUUGUUUUGUAUUGUUAUAUUGAUCACUUUCUUACUUUCUUCUUUUAUUAAUUUCAGAUACAGAGUACAGAGAAAUUCAAUUACUUGACUUGGUAGAGGGAAGAAUUGAUAUGUGAGAAUCAAGUUUGUAACGUUAGGUAUAAUUAAUAAAUGAAUUCUUUCGGGGAACACUAGCGGAUGGUAAACAACUGCAGUUAAAAGGCUAUCAAGAACCUCCGAUCAAAAGCUUGUUGAGUUCAAAAAUGAAAUCAUGUGCUUUUUUCCUUCUUUUUUUCCCUACUAAGCUACAAUUUUAGGUAUGGAAGCUCUUAUCUGAAUACAGCUAAUAGAUAAGUUCCUUACUCCGUCGAGUGUAAUUUUUGAGGUGCUUAAAUGCAUUUUGGGUUAUUGUACAUGCAAGAAAAUCUGCUACUCAGUCUAAUCAAAUCAUCUCUUAUUGUCAUGUUCGCAACCGAUACCGUAAAACUUUCUCGUGCAAUUAAACCAACAUCCUUUUUGGGCAUAUCAUUGCGGAAUCAAUCAAACACAUUUCAAAUGAUGAAUUUUUUUAUUAUUAUUAAAAAUUUUCACCUCGCUGAUUUGAUCACUAUUUUAAUUUUAAGAUUAUAUAUUUGAAUGUAAAAAUUAGUAUAAAGCCGAUAACUAAUCAAUUUAUGAAUAUUAUUUUUAAUGUGUGGAAGCACCUUAAUUAGUAAACAAAGUUCAAACUUGCAUCAAAUUAUACUCCCAAAAAUAUACAAAAUUUAGCUACCCUUUCUUCUUUCAAUCCGCUCUGCUGGACUUGUAUUAGGGAUGAGCAAAACUUGAUUUAAUUUGAAAAAAUAAAAAAAUUUCAAAUUUCGAAUUAAUCGAAUCGAGUUAUUCGAGUUAUUCAAUUUUUUUGAGUCAAGUUAAAUAAGUAGUUUGAGUUUCAAGUUCAAGUCGAGUUGAAUUUUAUAAUUCGAAUAACUAGAAUAAUUUAAUAACAUUUUGGUAUAACUGCUCCUUUAGUCCCCGUCAAGUUUAAAAAUGAGCAAAUCAGUCUCUCUCUUAACAAAAAUUACAAAAAUUUCAAAAUAAUUUUUAAAAUUCAAAACAUUUAUAAAAAUUUCAAACUUUAUAUUUUUUUAAAGAAUUGUAAAAAAAAUUUGUAAAAAAAUUCUAAAUAAUAUAUAAAGAAAGUUACAAUUUUGAAAUUUUCUAAAAUAAUAAUUUUAGGGACUUAAAUAAUUUAAUUAAUCAUUCAAGUUUAUCAUAGUAAAAUAUCUUUUCUUUUUUCUUUUUUUUCUUUAAAUUUUUUUAAAUAUAUACAGUUUCAAAUUUACGUGCUCAAACAUGAUAUUAGUUAUAUUGUAAUAAUAUUUUAAUUUGACAUGAUUAAUUUUUUAAUUUAGCUCGAACAAUUUCACUCGAUUUGACUCGACCUAAAUUUCAUUUCACGCGACUCGAUUUAAAAAAAUUCAAAUCAUAUUAAGAUGAUAAAAUAGGACUUCUCAACUUGAUUAACUCAAAAUUUUUUCACUUCAUUUGAUUGAACCUUCUUCCUUAUUUACGUCGCAAUUAGAAAACAUAUAGUAGCAAGGAAGAGUUCAAUUUUUAUACGAAAAAUAAAAUUUCAAAAAGUUACAUGUGCUUUUUUUAUAAAUAUACUCUAAAAAGGGUUAAUCUAAAUUAUAAAAUCUAAAAAUUUAUUUGAUAAUGGAUCCAAUAAUGAAUAAUUUCUCUACCACCGAAUUGAACAUUGCAUUUCAGUUUUAAAAUCUAUUCUAAUCAAAGAAACCAAAUUAACUUGACUUUGAAGAAAUCAAGCCAAGUCCUACACCAUAAAUAGGCAGUCUGAUAAUUGGGUAUAUAUGCACUAAAGAUAACCAAGAAAAAUGAGACACGUUCCUACCAUGUCCUUUCAAAAUGUCUUUAAAUUCUACCCGUAUAUUUUUCCACAACUUGCAUCGCCAUUUUAUGAGAGAUCCAUCAAUUACAGACAAAAACAUAAAGGAACCCAAAGGCCAAGUCUUAUAAACUUGUCGUUAUUAGCUGUACCAGAAAAAACAACCUUGUUUGUCUAAUACAAUUCCAACUUGCAUGUUUUGUAUCCUCAUAUUCUAAUUUCUGUAGAGGAUUUUUUAUGGAAAAAAGGAAUUUUAUAAGUGAAACGGAAUGCAACAAAAGACGAUGAAAAGGAAGAUUAGAAUAGAUAUUUCAUAACAUAGAUGAUAGCUUAUAAGGUGGAGAAAAAUUACUAAGUGUGGCUGUAGGUACAAGGGUAAUAAAGUUGCACAUUAAAUAGGAGUAAUAAGAGGCAUUUUUACUAAUAAAGAAUUUAGGUCUUGUAUAAUAGUGAAUAAUCCAUUUUAAAAAAAAAAUGGAAGAUGUAUUUAAUGUUACAAGAAAAGGUUAACAUGUAACAUUUAACUAUUGAUAGAAGUUCUUGUGCUUUAAGUUUCUUUGUUGAAGAUAUAUGGAUUGACUUAUUACACCAACCUAAGUUCUCCAAAAUUUCAAAAUGGUAAAGAUAAUCGAAGAAUCUUAUCAUAUUCUUGUCGAGUAAUAUUUUAUCAUGUCUUAUUGAUAAGAGUGUUCGAGUAUUUAUACAUGUUGUUACAAAAGCUAUUACAGCUCAUGAUAGGGCCCCACUAUUUUAACUUGACUCAACUGCCUCUAGUACUGAUACUUUCUAUCCCUAGUACUGACAUUCUUUGUAAGCUCCAGGUUUGUUGGGCACGUGUCUAUGGAGCACACGAUCCUUUCUGUUCCUGGGACUAACAUUCUAGGCGGGCUCCGUACCUACUGGACUCGUGCCUAGGUGGCCUACGGAGCACACGGCCCUUUCUGCGAGCUCCCUAAGUCCUCGCGAGUUGGAUCUGUGGCCUUGCGUUACAAGAUGGGUCCUUGGCUUUGCCUUGCGAGUUGAGUUCACGAGCUCGUUCUGCGAGCAGGGUGAGCUAACUCCCCUUGCUAUCCUCUCGUGGCUCGCUUCGCACCCAAUCUUUUGGUGGGACCUAUCCGGGUCACAGGUAGGUGACCCAGAUCCUAUCUAGGACUCAGGUUGAUGAUCACCAAUGUAUAACAAUUCUAAUGUUAUUUUCAUAACUAUUUUAAUUAAGUAGUAUAAUGUGAAACAUUUUUUGCAUAUCAUCUCUUAGAACAUGAGUUGUUUUUGUAAAAGAUUUGUUCUUAAAUAAGGUUGUUUUCAAAUAAGAAUUGUUCUAAUAUAUUCUGAUCAUGAAUUUUCUCAAUUAAUUAUUAUUGACAGGUUGUUCCUAACAAUAGGUGUUUUGAAUAUAAUUAUUCUUAAAUUUCAAUUAUUCUAAAUAAGAGUUGUUUUAAAUAUUAAUUAUUCUUAACAAGAGCUAUUCUCAAACAAUUACUAUUAUAGGCAUCAACAGUUGUGAACAUAAUAGUUAUUCUAGAGCAACGGUUGAUUUGAGUGGUGAUUAUUCUAAACAAAAGUUACUCUUCAGAUAAAAAUAUUUAAAAAGAAAACAAUAGAAGUGAUUAGAAUAUAUUUAUCUCGAAGUUGAAUUUAUGUGAAUCAAACCUACUCAAACCUUAAACAACUUAAACUCAAUAUGACUCCAAUGAGUAACUUAAAAAUACUAAAAUCUCAACGAAUAAACCUAAAAUGAUCCGAACCCAUAUUAAUGAAAUCCAAAAUUAAUCCUAAACAAAUAAUUUAAAAUUUUUAACUGGAAGCAACAGAACCUGACAGAUCUACCUCAAAGUAAAACUCAUUUCAAAGUGAGACAAAUUAGAUUAUUACUUGCAGUCUUGCAUACUACAGUCCUUAUAUAUAUAUGUCAGAUGUUUUAGGUAAUCUGUGACAAUGGAGUUCUUUCACUGUCUUGGACGUAGAUGUAGCCAACUGCCACAUUGAAUAGUAUUUCACUUCCAUCCUCAUCUGGACCCAAACUCGUCAUCUUUGUAGACUAAGGCUUAGUUUGGAUAGGCGGUGUGUUUACCUCCAGUGAGGUUAAAAACAGCGGUGGCGGUGAGAUUAGUUACUGUAGCAGUGAGAUUGGAUAUUGUAGCGGUGAGAUUAAAAACAAUGGUGGAGUGUGUGUUUGGAUUCAAACGCAGCUAUAGCGGUGAGAUAAGAAUAAAAAAUGACUAUUAAUGACAUCAGAUUAGAAUUGAUAUAUAAUAGAAGUUUUUAAAUUAUUUUACUUUUUUAAAAUUAUUAAAAUAUGUGAAUUUAUAAAUUAAAUUAAUAAAAUAUUAAAAUGUAUCUUCCAAUAUUUUAAUGAAUUAUAUAAUUAAUUUAAAUUAUUUAUUAGACAAAAUGAUAAUUAUUUUUAAUUUUUUAAAGUUAAAUAUUUUUUAUAACAAUGAUAAAUAUUAUUUUCAUAAAUAGUAACAUUAUACUUAGAUCAAAUUUUGAAGUAUCUAAAUAGAUGAUUUUUAAUUAAAAAAAUAUAAUAACAUAAGACAUAACAAGUUUCAUUAUUACUAGAAAUUUUUAAUUAUAAAUAAUUUAAAAUAAUAAAUAAUUUUUAAUUUUUAAUUAUAAAAAAUACUUAUUAAAUUUAAUAUGAAGAUUGUAUAUAUUAAAUUAAUAAUAUUAUUUGAAAUUCUUAAAUAGAAAAUUAGAUGUAAAAGGAUAAAAGAAAAAGUAAAAAGCAUGGAUGAAAAGGUACUUUCCAUCUUUCAAAUGGAGUUGCAAAUUCUCACUGCAUGUAGAACCUCCAGUGGCGCCACUGAUACUACAGCAUGAUGAGAAGACUCCAGUGCGGCAAUGGGUAAAAUCCAAACACCAAUAUCAGUGCGAUUGAUUUCAAAAAAAUGGUCUAAACGCACUGAAACGGGAGAUUUUUUGUAUCCAAAGAUAGCCUAAGGCUCCCUUUGGUUUGGCUUUUACAGCCAAUGAGGUGCAGUUGGGGAGAAAAAAUGGUGCCAAUCUCACUGCUAUGCUGUUUGGUUCAGCAAGUCAGUGCAGUGAGAUUGCAUCUCCACCACACUGCUCAGCUGAAAAUCAGCUGGUGAUUUCAGCAGCAAUGAAGGUGCAGUGAGCUAUUGGUACUUUAACUCUCCAAAAAUACCCUUACUUUAACUCUCCAUAUCUUCCCUCCUCCUACCAUGCUUCUCCUUCUUCAAUUUGUGCAACCAGUUCACUUCACAAAGCUACAGGUAAGUCAUUCAUCUGCUGCUGCAACUUCUGCUGCUGCAACUUCUGCCAUUUUCAACCAUGUUUGGUUGUGGUUGUGGUAGUGGACUUUUGUGGACUUUUCAACCAUUUUCAACUUCUGCCACUACCAAUCUUCUGCAACUUAUGCCAUUUCUCUGUAACAAAGGUGCACCGGAAACUUGAAGAAGAUGAUAGAUGGAUAGAACAAGAGAUAUAUAAUCGAUAUAAUAGAUGGACAGAACAAGAUGAUAGAUGGACAGUGUUAGAAUUGUGUGACCCAAAUUCUAAGAGAUUGCUUGCAAGUCAAGUUAAACAAAAAUAUAUUUUCUUUCUAGAAGAUUUAGUAUUUAUUAGUAUAAUAUAUUUAGCAUUUAUUAGUAUAGUUUAUUUGACUUACUAAUUUAGCCUAUAAAUAGGCUCUUUUACAAUCUUAGAAAUGAGACACACCCAUUAGAUUAGAACUCAUAACACAUUCAGAGAAUUUUGUGUUUACGUUUUCGGGUUCUUUGUUUUUCGGAUUUUCGAGUUUAGUUUUUAUCUCCAUCUUUUGUACUCUUCAUUCUUUUGCCAUUAUAGUAAAAUUAUCUUUGCCCGUGGUUUUUUAUCCUCUUUGGAGGGGUUUUUCCACGUUAAAUUUGUGUGUUCAUCUUCUCAAUUUCUUCUGUUAUUUGUACUUGUUUGUUGCUUAAUCGGGACGAUCCUAACAGACAGAAACCUGAAGAAGAUGAUAGAUGAAGAUGAUAGAGGUGUUAACUUUGCAAUACAACUACAACAUUUCUAUGAUGGGUUGGAUGGACAGAACAAGCGACAAUUUGAUUUUAUAGCUAGAGGGAGUAUUUGGUUAAAAAUAGGAAGAUAAAUAAUCGAUAUAUUGGAAAAUGUCAGCAAGAAUGAGCUUACAUGGGGCAUAAACCAAGAGAUAUAAAACGCUAACCUAGCAGAAUGUACACUCCAAAAGUAAACAUCUUAUAACCUGGAAUUAGGAACAUUAGAUUUUGUUGAGCCUAAUAAAGAUGAACCAGAGGAGGAAAGUAUGAAUAAUGCAGAACAAGAGAAAAACGAGCUAGCCUUUCAACUUGACUGGUGGUGUAAAAGUAAAGAAUAUCCAAAACAGGUAAUUCCAACCAUAACUAAAAUGGUUCCUUUUAUUAUUAAAACACCUAAAUUGGAAUUGAAACCACUGCUUGAACACUUGAAGUAUGAGAUGUUUGGGAGAAAAGAACACCUUGCCAGUAAUUACAUACAAGGAGUAUGUAAAAAUAACUUUUUCAAAAAAUAUUAAUAAAUAAUUUAAAUUAAUUAUAUAAUUUAUUAAAAUAUUAGAAGAUAUAUUUCAAUAUUUUAUUAAAUGAAUUUAUAAAUUCACAUAUUUUAAUAAUUAAAAAAAAGUAAAAUAAUUUUAAAAACUUCUAUUAUAUAUCAAUUCUAAUAUGAUGUCUUUAAUAGCAAUUUCUUAUCCUCAACUCACCGCUACAGUGCGUUUGAAUCUAAACACACACUCUACCAUUGUUUCUAAUUUCAUCGCUACAGCAUCCAAUCUCACCGCUACAGUAAUUAAUCUCACUGCCACCGCUGUUUUUAACCUCACCGGAGCUAAACACACCGCCCAUCCAAACUAAGCCUAAAUCAUAUACGCAAACAAUCCAAAAAUCUAUUGACUUGACUCAUAUUUUUUAUUAAGGAUCAGAUAAUCUUCUACGAUGGACCAAAACUUUAUCCCUUACUAAAAGCACCCAUAUCAUAAAUUUCAUAAUAUAGCUGAGCUCUCUCGUCUUAUGAUCCAAACAAGGAGGUAAAGCCAAAAAAAAAAAGAAAUGCAGAGCUCCACAGUUUUCAUAACCCUGUGGCUGUUAUUAAUAGUCUUUUCCGUGCUUAGCCCUGAAACUGAAGCUCAGCCGCCCACUUAUCGCUACCACGUUUGUCCUAACACCACCACUUUCCUCAUAAAUAGCACUUACCAAGCCAACCGUGAUACCCUCUUAACUUCUCUAUCGUCUAAUGGCAGCCGUGGUAAUGGUUUCUACAACACAACUUCAGGCAGAAACCCCGACACGGUUUACGGUCUUUUCCUCUGCCGUGGGGAUCUUUCUACCAGCGUUUGUCAAGCGUGUGUCACCUUCGCCUCUACAGACAUUUCCCGACGUUGUCCUGUUGAAAUAGCAGCGGUGGUUUGGUACGACGAGUGCCUCCUACGAUACUCGGACGAAAAUAUAUUUUCCGCCGUGGCUGAAGAACCUGCAAUUGUAUUGUUUAAUACUAAGAAUGCAACUGGGACAGAAAUCCCUUUCGACCAGCUAGUGGCUGCCACAGUUGUUAUGAACAUGAACGAUAUAACAACCCAAACGGAAAAUAAACCCGCAGGUUCUAAAAAAUUUGCGACAAGAGAGACCAAACUUUCAAGUUUUCAAACACUGUACACGCUCGCCCAGUGUACACCGGACUUAUCAGGCAGUGGUUGCAGUAGAUGUCUGCAAGGAGCACGAGAAAAUCUUCCAAAUGGAUGGCAAGGCGGAAGAGUGUUGAGUCCUAGCUGCAACGUCAGAUAUGAAACUUACCCCUUCUAUAAUCUAGCGGCUGUUUCACCUCAACCUCCUCCAGCACCAGGUUUAUCCUCACUGUUAAUUGAUAAAUUUGAUUCUUUCCUUUUUCCUUUUUUAUAGUUCAUGAAAAAAAGAAAACAAGAUUCACUACAUUCUCUUUUCUUUUUUCUUUUUGGUCGGUAAUUUGUAAAUUAAUAUAUAGGUAAAGAACAAGCCCCUGUUUUCAUGAGGAUUAGAAUGAACUGAAUUGAGAAUAUCUAAUUCUGCUCUUAUUUAAUUAGAAGAAGAGAAACAAAACAAAUCAAACCGGAUUCCAGUACUUGUUGCAAGUUUAUCAGCAAUUUUUGGGCUGGCUGUGGUUUUUAUCUCUGCUUUCUUCAUCUGGAGGAGGAGAAACAGUAGAGGUACACAUCGGAGUGAUCUUUCUGGCAAGUAUUAUAACUUCUUUUUAUAUUCUUAUGCUGAUCAUAUUAUGAUUUUAUUACAGACGAAGAAAACAGCCAAGAAGUUCAAUUACUUGGCUUGGUAAAUGAGCACUCAAGGGAAACUUUUAACGGAGAAAAUGGGGAGAGAUCUCAGGAGUUUCCUUCUAUACGGUUGGAUGUUUUACAUGCAGCUACAAAUCACUUUUUUGAUGAAAAUAAGCUGGGACAGGGUGGAUUUGGUCCUGUAUACAAAGUUAUUAUAUAACUUGAAACUUUUAUGUGAGUUGGCUUUAGAACUGAUGUAUGCGAAUUAAGUAUGUGAAUACUCCUGCAUUUGAAUUUUGAUAUGCUAUGUAAAUGAAUGAAUUCUUCCAGGGAACAUUAGCAGAUGGUAAAGAAAUUGCAGUUAAAAGGCUGUCAGAAACUUCCAGUCAAGGGCUUGUUGAAUUCAAGAAUGAAAUCAUGUUAAUUGCUAAACUACAACAUAGAAAUCUUGUGAGGCUCUUAGGAUGUUGCUUAGAGAAAAAUGAGAAGUUGCUUGUAUAUGAAUUCAUGCCCAACAAAAGCCUGGACGUUUUCCUAUUCGGUUUGAUUCUUGAACCUUUAACUAAUAAGAAAAAAAACAUGAAACAAUUAAUGAAAAUGUACUCAUUUGUUUAUUUUUUAUUCUUUUUUUCCACAUUUAUAUCAGAUUCGAAAUUAGCUGCUCAACUGGAUUGGCAGAAACGAUUCAACAUUAUUAAAGGAAUUGCUCGAGGUAUUUUAUAUCUACAUGAAGAUUCUCGUCUAAAAAUUAUACAUAGAGACCUUAAAGCAAGUAAUGUUCUACUCGAUCAUGAGAUGAAUCCAAAAAUUUCUGAUUUUGGUAUGGCAAGAAUUUUUGAAGAUAAAAACGAAGCAAAUACCAAUAGAGUCGUUGGAACAUAGUAAGUAUGCAUAUUUUCAUGACACAUUCCUUUACAGUGAGAGGCUUAUGGGAAUAUUUUUAUUUAAUUAUUUUCUUUGUUUAUAAAAUUUUCUAUGAUAUCAUCUAAUUUUAUUUUAAUAAAUUGUCUCUUUAUUUCUUAUGAAUUAAAAUAGUGGAUAUAUGGCACCAGAAUAUGCUAUGGAAGGACUCUUUUCUAUCAAAUCUGAUGUUUUCAGUUUUGGAGUCCUUUUGUUGGAGAUUAUUAGUGGACAAAAGAACAAUGGUUUUCAUCAUUUAGAGCAUGGUGAAAGCUUGUUGACUUUUGUAUGUUCUUUAUCCUCCCUUUUGUCCUCAAACUAUAGAUUAAAUGUUUUAACCAUUCUACGAAUAAUUUUAAGCUACAAUUGUAGGCAUGGAAAUUAUGGUCCAAGGGCGAAGGAAUGGAGCUAAUAGAUCAGGUCCUUGUUCCUUCAUGUGUGGCUUUUGAGGUGCUUAAAUGCAUUCAUAUCGGGCUAUUAUGUGUGCAAGAAGACCCGGCAGAUAGACCAACCAUGUCAUCUGUGAUUUUCAUGUUGGCAAGUGAUAGUACCAUAACACUUCUUUGUCCAUCUGAACCAGCAUUUUCCGUUGGGCGUGCAAUUACAAAACCAGCUGAACCUAUUUCAGAUGAUGGAGUCUUUUCGGUUAAUGAGGUCACAAUUUCAAAUUUCUCACCUCGCUAAUUUGAUUGUUGUACUAACAAUACUAGUUUAUCAAAAAACUUUCAUUUUUAUUUCCCAGUCUAAAUUAACAACUAUGAAUACUAAAGCCAUGAUUUGUAAGAACUUGAACCUGAAACUAUAUAUACAUAUAUUUGAAUUUUA